GGACUGUGAAGAUCAAGAGAAAGCUGCUAACUUUCAUCUUUAGCGGUUAAAUUCCGUUUACAUUCCU
RNAcentral lists this transfer RNA (67 nucleotides) under Cyphoderris monstrosa. Its description in RNAcentral is "tRNA-Ser". Lineage: Eukaryota; Metazoa; Arthropoda; Insecta; Orthoptera; Prophalangopsidae. The record is from RNAcentral.